Molecule: ribosomal RNA, 440 nt
Filed under: uncultured bacterium
Lineage: Bacteria
Description: partial 16S ribosomal RNA
Rfam family: Bacterial small subunit ribosomal RNA
Source: RNAcentral
CUACGGGAGGCAGCAGUAAGGAAUAUUGCACAAUGGGGGAAACCCUGAUGCAGCAACGCCGCGUGGACGAAGAAGGCCUUCGGGUCGUAAAGUCCUUUUCUGAGGGAAGAGGAAGGACGGUACCUCAGGAAUAAGUCUCGGCUAACUACGUGCCAGCAGCCGCGGUAAAACGUAGGAGGCGAGCGUUAUCCGGAUUCACUGGGCGUAAAGGGCAAGUAGGCGGUUGUUUAAGUUAGGUGUGACAUCUCUCGGCUUAACUGGGAGGGAGCGCUUAAAACUAGGCAACUAGAGGGCGGAAGAAGGGGGUAGAACUCCAAAUGUAGCGGUGGAAUGCUCAGAUAUUUGGAAGAAUACCAGUGGGGAAGGCGACCCCCCGGUCCGUGCCUGACGCUGAGAGGCGAAAGCUAGGGUAGCGAACGGGAUUAGAUACCCGUGUAGUC